GUGGGGAAUUUUGGACAAUGGGCGCAAGCCUGAUCCAGCGACGCCGCGUGGAGGACGAAGGCCUUCGGGUUGUAAACUCCUUUUGGAGGGGAAGAAUAAAUUGACGGUACCCUCAGAAAAAGCCACGGCUAACUACGUGCCAGCAGCCGCGGUAAUACGUAGGUGGCGAGCGUUACUCGGAAUUACUAGGCGUAAAGCGUAUGUAGGUGGUUAGAUAAGUCUAUGGUGAAAUUUCCGGCUUAACUGGGAAGGGACAUAGAUACUAUCUGGCUUGAGUGUGGGAGGGGGAGACGGAAUUCCUGGUGUAGCGGUGAAAUGCGUAGAUAUCAGGAGGAACACCGAUGGCGAAAGCAGUCUCCUGGCCCAAUACUGACACUGAGGUACGAAAGCUAGGGUAGCAAACAGGAUUAGAUACCCUGGUAGUCC
This 426-nucleotide ribosomal RNA is filed under the name uncultured bacterium. Its description in RNAcentral is "partial 16S ribosomal RNA". It matches the Rfam family "Bacterial small subunit ribosomal RNA", at positions 354 to 796 of the family's 1533-position model. The record is from RNAcentral.